UUCCGGUUGAUCCUGCGGACCUCACUGCUAUCGGGGUGGGACUAAGACAUGCAAGUCGUACGCCUCCCAGCCGCCGGGGGAGGCGUGGCGCACGGCUCCGUAACACGUGGCUAACCUACCCUUGGGACGGGGAUAACCCCGGGAAACUGGGGCUAAUCCCCGAUAGGCGAGGAUGCCUGGAAUGGUUCCUCGCCGAAAGGGCACCGGAACCGUGCUUCCGGUGUCGCCCAAGGAUGGGGCCGCGGCCGAUCAGGUUGUUGGUGGGGUAACGGCCCACCAAGCCGAUAACCGGUACGGGCCGUGAGAGCGGGAGCCCGGAGAUGGGCACUGAGAUAAGGGCCCAGGCCCUACGGGGCGCAGCAGUCGCGAAACCUCCGCAAUGCGCGAAAGCGCGACGGGGCCACCCCGAGUGCCGCCCGCUGAGGGCGGCUUUUCCCCGGUGUAGAUAGCCGGGGGAAUAAGGGGAGGGCAAGUCUGGUGUCAGCCGCCGCGGUAAUACCAGCUCCCCGAGUGGUGGGGACGAUUAUUGGGCCUAAAGCGUCCGUAGCCGGCCCGGCAAGUCUCCCGUUAAAUCUAGCGAUCUAAUCGCUGGACUGCGGGAGAUACUGUCGGGCUAGGGGGCGGGAGAGGCCGGCGGUAUUCCCGGGGUAGGGGUGAAAUCCUAUAAUCCCGGGAGGACCACCAGUGGCGAAGGCUGCCGGCUGGAACGCGCCCGACGGUGAGGGACGAAAGCCGGGGGAGCGAACCGGAUUAGAUACCCGGGUAGUCCCGGCUGUAAACGAUGCGGGCUAGGUGUUGGCACGGCUACGAGCCGUGCCAGUGCCGCAGGGAAGCCGUUAAGCCCGCCGCCUGGGGAGUACGGCCGCAAGGCUGAAACUUAAAGGAAUUGGCGGGGGAGCACCACAAGGGGUGAAACCUUGCAGUUUUAAUUGGGAUCAACCGCCCGGAAAU
Molecule: ribosomal RNA, 951 nt
Filed under: uncultured archaeon
Lineage: Archaea
Description: bacterial SSU rRNA
Rfam family: Archaeal small subunit ribosomal RNA
Source: RNAcentral